RNAcentral lists this ribosomal RNA (253 nucleotides) under uncultured bacterium. RNAcentral describes it as "partial 16S ribosomal RNA". It matches the Rfam family "Bacterial small subunit ribosomal RNA", at positions 524 to 776 of the family's 1533-position model. The record is from RNAcentral.
UACGAAGGGUGCAAGCGUUAUCCGGAUUCAUUGGGUUUAAAGGGUGCGUAGGUGGGGCGAUAAGUCAGUGGUGAAAUCCUGCAGCUCAACUGUAGAAUUGCCAUUGAUACUGCCGCUCUUGAGUACGCUUGACGUGGGCGGAAUGUGCCGUGUAGCGGUGAAAUGCUUAGAUAUGGCACAGAACACCGAUAGUGAAGACAGCUCACGAAGGCGAAACUGACACUGAGGCACGAAAGCGUGGGGAGCGAACAGG